GAGGGCGAAAAAAUCGACCGCGCGCCGCUGCUAACAAAGCCGACGUAGUAGCAUCACUUUCGGGAUUCGUUCGUUAGUUCCAACAUUUCCCGGUAGAGGCGUCGUAAUAAGCGCAAUUUUAUUUUACAAACUUUCUCUUACAAUUACCGAAGCAUUUUCUUUUACAUAAAAACAGCGCAAAAUUAUCAUUGCUAAUUAGAUAUUGUGCUCUUUGUUAGUAAGUUUAUUGUUUCUUCGCCAUUAUAAACGCAAAUAGCGUUCAGCAUCAUCGAUCUUUCACGUGACCUCUGGCCUGGAUUUAAAAUUUUUACCGGUAUUUCCGAGUGCACGGCGGCACGGAUUCAUUCGUUCGUACACUCAAGACUGCUUUGUUUCUAAAACUAGUUUCUUGCGCUUCGAUGUCUCGCGUUAUUUAACUUGGGGUGAAGUUACGUGUUUGCAAGCGGACAUGUAAGCCCGGCAGUUGGGUUUCGGUCGUGAGCCAUUCGGAACAGGUCUGCAUCGAAACGGGAGCUGGAUUUUGCUGCGGCUGACAACGGCAAUAACGACAUGCAGUAAUGAAGACGGCACCAGUAUAAAGCAACACACUCCACGCACUAAACAGAAGCUGCUGCCUGCUACAACAAGGUCAUUGUGUGGACAUUGGCUACUACUACAAGAGUCUAUGCCAAGCGCAUCUUGGUCAUCACAGGAGCUCCUAUCUGCGCCAACAGGAAGGGGCUGGAGCCGAAUUUGCAAGGCUUUUACACCAAGAACAAAGAAGCACAUGCAGAAGAAUAUGAAUGAGAUAUCAAGUCUGCAGAGGACUGUGUCAAGGCUGAAAAGAGCUUCAGCCACCAUUCCACCAGCACGGACAUUUGGUUGAGUCAUCCAGGUAACUCAAAAAGGACUUUCUAGAAAUUCUUCGUCUUCAGGUGCACCUGCAACAUCUGACCAAGCACGGACGACGCUGGCCAAAAGAUUGAGUUCCAUCAGUUUGCCCUUAAUCCGCUUCCUAGCCAUGUUAAUUCCGUUUGUGCCAAGUGUAAUUUUUCUUCUAUAAAUGCAAGCUUUCUCAUUGCCCAUUUUUGUUAGAGGUCAUUCAUCCUCAUCCAAAUAUAAAGGUCAACCGAUUCUUCGCUGAUACUUAA
Dermacentor andersoni is the source of this 1130-nucleotide non-coding RNA. The record is from RefSeq and is a predicted model, not a curated record. NCBI's taxonomy places the organism in Eukaryota, Metazoa, Arthropoda, Arachnida, Ixodida, Ixodidae.